RNAcentral lists this unclassified non-coding RNA (331 nucleotides) under soil metagenome. Its description in RNAcentral is "partial contains 5.8S ribosomal RNA, internal transcribed spacer 2, and large subunit ribosomal RNA". The stretch from base 1 to 120 matches the Rfam family "5.8S ribosomal RNA", at positions 35 to 154 of the family's 154-position model. The record is from RNAcentral.
GAUGAAGAACUCAGCGAAAUGCGAUAAGUAAUGUGAAUUGCAGAAUUCAGUGAAUCAUCGAAUCUUUGAACGCACAUUGCGCCCCCUGGUAUUCCGGGGGGCAUGCCAGUUCGAGCGUCAUUUCACCACUCAAGCCUCGCUUGGUAUUGGGCAUCGCGGUCCGCCGCGCGCCUCAAAUCGACCGGCUGGGUCUUCUGUCCCCUAAGCGUUGUGGAAACUAUUCGCUAAAGGGUGUUCGGGAGGCUACGCCGUAAAACAACCCCAUUUCUAAGGUUGACCUCGGAUCAGGUAGGGAUACCCGCUGAACUUAAGCAUAUCAAUAAGCGGAGGA